CAGAGGAUAUGGGAGUGCGGUAUUGAUCAGAAGGUGGAGCGCAGGAAAAAAUGAGGGCUUUCACGGCUUCCUCUUUUUUCCGUGUGAAAGCAGAAGUCCACGACGCGCAGCUAACGAAUGGCCGCUAAUGAGUUGACUCCUCCCUCCCUCAUACAAAAAAGACUCAUUCUUCAUUGUUUUAAUUUUUUUUUUGAACCGUUACAAAACCAAUUGUGAAGAGAAGUCAGGACGGCGCUCACGGGACUAAAAGCAUCAGUUCUGGAGACAGAGCCCAACACAGAGAGUUCCUACUUUUUUUGGCACGAAGCGAACUACACGGGGAUGACGAGAGUGGGGUCCUCACGCACACCCACGGCGAGACGGGAGGGGAGCUCAGACCACAUGGAGUUGCGUCGCAAUGGCGGGCGCGGAUGUCCGGCCCUCAGCUGUCAAAAUUGUGGCCUUUAUUUGGAAAGAAAAUGUCUCAAGGCGUUAGGGUUAGCCAGCAAACCCAGACAGACUCUAUCUUGACCCCUGACCCGUCACUGUCUACCAGCGCCGGAUGGGAGAGUGGAGGGCGGAGGGGGUGCGGGUCAAACACACGCCACGGAUGCAGACAGCUGAUAGAUGAAGUCACCAUUUGUUGCCAUGACGAUGAAAAGCUGGAGGCAAGCACAGAAAUCACGCACCAAAUUGCAUUACUCUUUUCCAGGGCACGACCACGCUUCAAAGAUACGCGUAUUCCGUUGAAAGAUGUUUUUGGGGAUGUUAGCAAGAUAGUUGGAGGUGCAUCCAAAAGCUAUUCAAUUGUGUCUUAGGUUUAACCUUUCUUUUUCAAAAUUGUAAUAAUUUCAUAUUUUUAGUAAUGGAGAAUCUGCCCAAAUGUGAUGGUAUUUUUUCAUUAUUGUUGUGUAAAAACUGUGUAUUUAAAGGCAAAUUGUGUGUUUGAUCUAACUGUAAACAAAAUCUAAUGGGGGGGGGAUGAGAAAACCGAAAAAGGAAAAUACAUGAUAUUCAUUCACUUCAGUGGACCAACAUUUUUGUUUGUUUUGAAAGAAAGUUGACUACAGGAGUUUAGAAGUGAAUAGAGAAAAAAAUAUAUUUUUUUAACAUUUUUGAAAAAUAAAAAAAAUAGUCAUUAUGUAGUAAUAAGAAAAAUGUUUUUCCUUUAUUUAAUUGUCCCUAUUCAUUAUUUUUAUUUAUUUUAUUUUAUGCUCAUUUAAUUGUUCUAAUUGAUGAGUAUUUUUUUAAUAAUCUAUUUUCUUUUUUGGCAAGAUUUGCCUUUGGAUUGAUGUCCAUAGUUUAACUAUGCAAUAUAAUGGAUGAGUCAUAAAAUGUCAACCAAUAUUGUCCUCGUUUUCUAAUAAAUGUGUACAUCAUAA
Long non-coding RNA from Syngnathoides biaculeatus (alligator pipefish), 1361 nucleotides. RefSeq lists it as uncharacterized. The transcript has 5 exons. NCBI's taxonomy places the organism in Eukaryota, Metazoa, Chordata, Actinopteri, Syngnathiformes, Syngnathidae. The record is from RefSeq and is a predicted model, not a curated record.